CCUACGGGUGGCAGCAGUGAGGAAUAUUGGUCAAUGGGCGGAAGCCUGAACCAGCCAAGUCGCGUGAGGGAUUAAGGCCCUGCGGGUCGUAAACCUCUUUUGCCGGGGAGCAGUGGUCCGGACGCGUCCGGACAGGGAGAGUACCCGGAGAAAAAGCAUCGGCUAACUCCGUGCCAGCAGCCGCGGUAAUACGGAGGAUGCGAGCGUUAUCCGGAUUUAUUGGGUUAAAGGGGUGCGUAGGCGGGCAGUCAAGCCGGCGGUAAAAUGUCGGGGCUCAACCCCGGCCUGCCGUAGAAACUGGGUGCCUUGAGUGGGCGAGAAGUAUGCGGAAUGUGUGGUGUAGCGGUGAAAUGCAUAGAUAUCACGCAGAACCCCGAUUGCGAAGGCAGCAUACCGGCGCCCUACUGACGCUGAGGCACGAAAGUGUGGGUAUCGAACAGGAUUAGAUACCCUUGUAGUC
Molecule: ribosomal RNA, 460 nt
Filed under: uncultured bacterium
Lineage: Bacteria
Description: partial 16S ribosomal RNA
Rfam family: Bacterial small subunit ribosomal RNA
Source: RNAcentral